RNAcentral lists this ribosomal RNA (253 nucleotides) under uncultured bacterium. RNAcentral's name for it is "partial 16S ribosomal RNA". It matches the Rfam family "Bacterial small subunit ribosomal RNA", at positions 524 to 776 of the family's 1533-position model. The record is from RNAcentral.
UACGGAGGGGGCUAGCGUUGUUCGGAAUUACUGGGCGUAAAGCGCACGUAGGCGGCUUUGUAAGUCGGGGGUGAAAGCCUGUGGCUCAACCACAGAAUUGCCUUCGAUACUGUAGAGCUUGAGACCGGAAGAGGUAAGUGGAACUGCGAGUGUAGAGGUGAAAUUCGUAGAUAUUCGCAAGAACACCAGUGGCGAAGGCGGCUUACUGGUCCGGUUCUGACGCUGAGGCGCGAAAGCGUGGGGAGCAAACAGG